GAUGAACGCUGGCGGCGUGCCUAAUACAUGCAAGUCGAACGCUUCACUUCGGUGAAGAGUGGCGAACGGGUCAGUAAUACAUAAGUAACCUGGCAUCUACAGGGGGAUAACUGAUGGAAACGUCAGCUAAGACCGCAUAGGUGUAGAGAUCGCAUGAACUCUAUAUGAAAAGUGCUACGGGACUGGUAGAUGAUGGACUUAUGGCGCAUUAGCUGGUUGGUAGGGUAACGGCCUACCAAGGCGACGAUGCGUAGCCGACCUGAGAGGGUGACCGGCCACACUGGGACUGAGACACGGCCCAGACUCCUACGGGAGGCAGCAGUAGGGAAUUUCCGGCAAUGGGGGAAACCCUGACCGAGCGACGCCGCGUGAAGGAAGAAGUAAUUCGUUAUGUAAACUUCUGUCAUAGAGGAAGAACGGUGGAUAUAGGGAAUGAUAUCCAAGUGACGGUACUCUAUAAGAAAGCCACGGCUAACUACGUGCCAGCAGCCGCCGCGG
Molecule: ribosomal RNA, 498 nt
Filed under: uncultured bacterium
Lineage: Bacteria
Description: partial 16S ribosomal RNA
Rfam family: Bacterial small subunit ribosomal RNA
Source: RNAcentral